This 253-nucleotide ribosomal RNA is filed under the name uncultured bacterium. Its description in RNAcentral is "partial 16S ribosomal RNA". It matches the Rfam family "Bacterial small subunit ribosomal RNA", at positions 524 to 776 of the family's 1533-position model. The record is from RNAcentral.
UACGUAGGGUCCGAGCGUUGUCCGGAAUUAUUGGGCGUAAAGAGCUCGUAGGCGGUUUGUCGCGUCUGCUGUGAAAUCCCGAGGCUCAACCUCGGGCCUGCAGUGGGUACGGGCAGACUGGAGUGCGGUAGGGGAGAAUGGAAUUCCUGGUGUAGCGGUGGAAUGCGCAGAUAUCAGGAGGAACACCGAUGGCGAAGGCAGUUCUCUGGGCCGUUACUGACGCUGAGACGCGAAAGCGUGGGGAGCAAACAGG